GAACCAUACCGAGGACAUUUCCGCAGGAGAUCCUUCAACCUAUCCCAUAUCUCAUAAAGAGACUCUAAUUCCAUUUGCACAAAAGAGGAUAUUUUAUUCCUAAGCUU
Small nucleolar RNA from Dioscorea cayenensis subsp. rotundata (Guinea yam), 107 nucleotides. NCBI's taxonomy places the organism in Eukaryota, Viridiplantae, Streptophyta, Magnoliopsida, Dioscoreales, Dioscoreaceae. The record is from RefSeq and is a predicted model, not a curated record.